This 1386-nucleotide long non-coding RNA is filed under the name Triticum aestivum (bread wheat). RNAcentral's name for it is "long non-coding RNA (TAES_LNC017393)". Lineage: Eukaryota; Viridiplantae; Streptophyta; Magnoliopsida; Poales; Poaceae. The record is from RNAcentral.
UUCUAACUACUGAUUAGUCAUUGUCAACAUGCAGUACAACAAGGUUACUUAAGACUUAGUCAUUGUCAACAUGUGCACAGCCACACACUUUCUUUUAAAUGAUGCCGAUAAUGAUCAUUAUCCUCAAGUCAUGGCAUGCGGUGCUCCUGAUAGUACCCAUGAUAGCUUGUCUGUCGUGCGGAUUCUUGCCAACGAGGAUGUCCCCCACCCCAUCGCGCUUAAGACAAUGCGACCGUCCAUGUCCGCCGCGUACGCACAGGUGGAGAUGGAGCCCUAUCAAUCAAAGUCUACACUAAGUAACACAUAUGAUGACAUGGCCGUUGGUUACAUUGGUCCUUGUCAGACAUGCUAUGAAUGGCACCCGACGUAGUGACCACGGGACGAAAGUUUGUCCAACAGGUUGUUGGUCUCAUCAUCAUUCAACUGCAAUCUAUGGUCGAAGACGGCAUCAUAGAUAAUGGUCAGCCUAGGCCUUUGCCCUCUUAUGGAUAAGGUGAUCAAUUCACCCCUAUUGAGAUGAUUGUAGGUGAGGAAACGAUCUCAUUCAUCUCCUCCCAGCUGCGUCAUCAUUGGUACUUUUUCGACCUCCAUAGUCUAGGGGCCCCUAGGGACCUCGAAGAGCAUAGUGUCUUUGGUCAGCUCAUUGAAUUCCAACCUCACAUUGCAUGGGACGAUCUAUGUAACAAAAAACAGACACACGCACACAACAUUAAUGGUUAUAUCAAAAAAAAUAUCUUGUCAUAUAAGGUUUGUUGUUACCGCCAAAGGAACGACAUAGCACCGCUGGAAGUAUAUGCCUAACAGAUCGGUAGUUGCAGGGUGGUGGGCACACUUUGAUUUGCAUAUCUCACAUGGUGGUAGAUGGGCCAUUAUACGAAAAACAUUUGCAUAUCAUUUGCACAUUACAACAAUCGGAUUCUACAUACUAAGUGUGCAACCGGAUUCUACACUACUCAGGCCUCCUUUGUUUGGGCUACAGAUCAUAUAUUAUGUUUAAAAAAUUGUCUUCGUGUAAUAUUUUUUUCUCAUGCUCGAUCUCUUAAAACUGAAACAGAAAGUUCUGUCUAUGCUCAUAUUUUCAUUGUUCGUCACAUUUCCUUCGGGAAUUUUUAAUAACCGGAAGGUGAUAUCUCCUAUGGAACAAUACCAUGGGUACAUACGUCCUCCUAAGUAUGCACACAUUCAUACAAACGAGAAUAACAUAUUGUAGCAACGAGCAGGGAAAAGAACAUAUUGUUUGGGCAUCGAAUUCUAGCUACACUACUCAUUCAACAUGGGAAGGGGAAGAAAAGGGGCGCGAGGGGAGGGGAUCUCACCUGGUCACCAGGAGGUGGCGGCGGCGGUGACGAGCGGCGACGCCGGGCGAGGACCGGAGGUGGCGGUGGC